GAUGAACGCUGGCGGCGUGCUUAACACAUGCAAGUCGAGCGAAGCAGUUAAGAAGAUUUUUCGGAUGAUUUUUAACUGACUGAGCGGCGGACGGGUGAGUAACGCGUGGGUGACCUGCCCCAUACCGGGGGAUAACAGCUGGAAACGGCUGCUAAUACCGCAUAAGCGCACAGAGCUGCAUGGCUCGGUGUGAAAAACUCCGGUGGUAUGGGAUGGGCCCGCGUCUGAUUAGGCAGUUGGCGGGGUAACGGCCCCCCAAACCGACGAUCAGUAGCCGGCCUGAGAGGGCGACCGGCCACAUUGGGACUGAGACACGGCCCCAACUCCUACGGGAGGCAGCAGUGGGGAAUUUUGGACAAUGGGGGCAACCCUGAUCCAGCCAUGCCGCGUGUUUGAAGAAGGCCUUCGGGUUGUAAAGGACUUUUGCCAGGGAGCAAAUCCCGCCUGUGAAUAAUGGGCGGGGAUGAGAGUAAAAGGGGAAUAAGCACCGGCUAACUACGUG
Molecule: ribosomal RNA, 502 nt
Filed under: uncultured bacterium
Lineage: Bacteria
Description: bacterial SSU rRNA
Rfam family: Bacterial small subunit ribosomal RNA
Source: RNAcentral